CUAACAUGUGUGCGAGUCAAUGGGUCUCGAUUAAGCCCAGAGGCGCAAUGAAAGCAAUGGCCGGCACGACUCCGGCUGAGUUGGGAUCCCUCCGCCCACGAGCGGGGGGCGCACCAACGACCCGUCCCGUCCGAUUUAUCGGUGGAGCGGAGUUUGAGCACACACGUUGGUACCCGAAAGAUGGUGAACUAUGCCCGGACAGGACGAGGCCAGAGGAAACUCUGGUGGAGGUCCGCACGGUUCUGACGUGCAAAUCGAUCGUCAGAUCCGGGUCUAGGGGCGAAAGACUAAUCGAACCAUCUA
Molecule: ribosomal RNA, 303 nt
Filed under: Robertus neglectus
Lineage: Eukaryota; Metazoa; Arthropoda; Arachnida; Araneae; Theridiidae
Description: eukaryotic LSU rRNA
Rfam family: Eukaryotic large subunit ribosomal RNA
Source: RNAcentral